GACGUAGGGCGCGAGCGUUGUCCGGAUUUAUUGGGCGUAAAGAGCUUGUAGGCGGUUUGUCGCGUCUGCUGUGAAAUUUCGGGGCUCAACCCCGAACUUGCAGUGGGUACGGGCAGACUAGAGUGUGGUAGGGGAGACUGGAAUUCCUGGUGUAGCGGUGAAAUGCGCAGAUAUCAGGAGGAACACCGAUGGCGAAGGCAGGUCUCUGGGCCGAUACUGACGCUGAGGAGCGAAAGCGUGGGGAGCGAACAGG
Molecule: ribosomal RNA, 253 nt
Filed under: uncultured bacterium
Lineage: Bacteria
Description: partial 16S ribosomal RNA
Rfam family: Bacterial small subunit ribosomal RNA
Source: RNAcentral